UACAGAGGUCUCAAGCGUUGUUCGGAUUCAUUGGGCGUAAAGGGUGCGUAGGUGGCGCGCUAAGUCAGGUGUGAAAUUUCGGAGCUCAACUCCGAAACUGCAUUUGAUACUGGCGUGCUUGAGGACUGGAGAGGAGACUGGAAUUCACGGUGUAGCAGUGAAAUGCGUAGAUAUCGUGAGGAAGACCAGUGGCGAAGGCGGGUCUCUGGACAGUUACUGACGCUGAGACGCGAAAGCGUGGGGAGCAAACAGG
Molecule: ribosomal RNA, 253 nt
Filed under: uncultured bacterium
Lineage: Bacteria
Description: partial 16S ribosomal RNA
Rfam family: Bacterial small subunit ribosomal RNA
Source: RNAcentral